Xiphophorus hellerii (green swordtail) is the source of this 2040-nucleotide long non-coding RNA. RefSeq lists it as uncharacterized. NCBI's taxonomy places the organism in Eukaryota, Metazoa, Chordata, Actinopteri, Cyprinodontiformes, Poeciliidae. The record is from RefSeq and is a predicted model, not a curated record. The transcript is spliced from 2 exons.
GAAAUCUCAACUUGAAGACAGUUACAGAGUAGCAACUGAGAAUGCCAAAAAGACAGCCAAUCGCAACAAGGCAAGGUUUGAUAAGUAUGUUGUUGACUCCAGCUUGAAAGAAGGCGACAGAGUCUUGGUUCGAAAUGUCCGACUCAGAGGCAAACACAAGUUAGCUGACAAGUGGGAAUCCGACGUGUAUGUUGUCCUGAGACAGUCCGGAGACGUCCCAGUAUAUGUUGUGAAGCCCGAGACAAGAGAUGGUCCACAAAGAACUCUUCAUCGUGACCUCCUGUUGCCAUGUGGUUUUCUUCCUGUGACUCCUGUUGAAAGCGAAACUAACCCACCAAAGGCAGUAAGGGGCCCAAAAACUCGACAACAUUCUGAAAAUGACACAUCAAAUGGAGCUGAUGGGAAUGAAUCCCAAUCUGAUUCUGAGGAAUAUCAUUAUCAAAGAAACCUAACAGUAGAAACACUAGGUUUCGUCUCAACUUCCGAACCUAUGGAAUACUUGCCUGAAAGGAUUGAACCCGAACCUGACUUGCCUGCUGUUGUGCAAGAUCCUUCAGACGUAGCCAAAGCUUUCCCCGAGGACGCUCCAGUAGAAACUUAUGACCUAAACUUACCUGAUUUUGGAAAAGAUGACUCAAUUACCCCUGAGGAGAGAAACUCAAUCGCUGAACAGGAAAUUAGAAACCUACCUGAGAAAGAUGUGGAUAACGUCCAUCCUUCUACUGAACCUGGUCAGGCGAGCAAAGAAAACACAAGUGAUCUGAGUCAAGUGAACCAUCAGACCGAAAGAGACUGUUCAGGAAGACCUGUUAGAGACAGAAAACCGAUUAAGAGACUGACUUAUCCUGAGCUAGGAAAUCCGUUGGUGACAGUAGUUCAGUCUUUAUUUCACACCUUGAGUGAUGUGUUUACAGACUCCCUUGAAAAACCUAGCUUUCCAAAAACCCCUAGAGUUAUGGCAGUGUAAUUUUAAAAAUGCACAGGGACGUGCAUUAGGUAAAGAGGGGAGGAUGUAACCCACAUUAAAAUCUGAUAUAAAUAGUUGAUUAAAUACCUGUAGACAGAAAAUAACGUCACUGCCCCUUUAAGGAACUAGCGUUACAGACGCUGCGUCUGUAACGCAGCACACAGCCCGGAGGGAGAGAACAGAGGAGGAAUCAGAGGAACGCGCAGUGAUUAGUUAACAACAAAAGUUAACAUUAUAUUUGAAAACCAUAAUCUAUCCGGUCGGGAACUGACGGGAAUUUUAUGAGCGCUAAACUAAAUCGGUUUUGGUCAGUUUUUUUGCUUGGUUGGAAGCUCGGUCGGAGUCAGGAUUUGUCUACCGUGUGCGGCGUGCACAUUCAUGGACGGGAUUCACGGACGGGAUUCAGGAUGGCGAGCCAGACCCAGACAUUCAAUUCACCUUCUCCAUCACAUUAAGGAAGGACUCUCCUGCGUGUGGUAAUUCGCUGCCAGGACGAACUGAACCGAACUGAACAGAACUGAUAAUUUAUUGAAUUAUUAUUUUUUGUUGGAUCGAGUCAACUAAGAUUUUUUUCAUCGAACUGAAUAGCUGAUUUCAUAUUCGGGUUGUACUCGAAUUUAAAGUGAUAUACUUUGGUUUCUAUAUGUUAUAUCUUUGAGUAUGAUUUGAACAAUUGUAAUUUAUUUUGAUUUGAUUGUGUUUGAGGUAUUUUCUCACCUGUAAAAGAAAGAAAACGAGUUAACUCAGAAAAAAUAGGGAUCUCAAAAUAGAUACAACAUAGGAAAUAAAAGAGACUGGUCUAACUAAUUCAAAUUAGACUGUCUAAAAUAACAUAGGAGAACAAAGAUCAGUCUAAUUAAAUUAGAUUAGUCUUAUUAAAAUGAACUAGGUGAACUAAAGAGUGAAAAGAAAAGGUGAUAUACUCUUUAUUUACUUCUUUUUUUCCCUUUUCAUUUUUAUUUGCUUCCUUAUUAAGAACCUGCAAUAUAUUUAUUUAUUUAUUUACUUAAUUAGUUAUGGUAUCUUAUUUGUGUGUUUUAUAUUCAGUAAAUUGCCGGCUUGUUUCACUUAAA